RNAcentral lists this ribosomal RNA (193 nucleotides) under Klebsiella pneumoniae. RNAcentral describes it as "partial 16S ribosomal RNA". It matches the Rfam family "Bacterial small subunit ribosomal RNA", at positions 1 to 185 of the family's 1533-position model. The record is from RNAcentral. Lineage: Bacteria; Pseudomonadati; Pseudomonadota; Gammaproteobacteria; Enterobacterales; Enterobacteriaceae.
ACUUAAAUUGAAGAGUUUGAUCAUGGCUCAGAUUGAACGCUGGCGGCAGGCCUAACACAUGCAAGUCGAGCGGUAGCACAGAGAGCUUGCUCUCGGGUGACGAGCGGCGGACGGGUGAGUAAUGUCUGGGAAACUGCCUGAUGGAGGGGGAUAACUACUGGAAACGGUAGCUAAUACCGCAUAAUGUCGCAAG